GAUGAACGCUGACGGCGUGCCUAAUACAUGCAAGUCGAGCGAACGGACGAGAAGCUUGCUUCUCUGAUGUUAGCGGCGGACGGGUGAGUAACACGUGGAUAACCUACCUAUAAGACUGGGAUAACUUCGGGAAACCGGAGCUAAUACCGGAUAAUAUUUUGAACCGCAUGGUUCAAAAGUGAAAGACGGUCUUGCUGUCACUUAUAGAUGGAUCCGCGCUGCAUUAGCUAGUUGGUAAGGUAACGGCUUACCAAGGCAACGAUGCAUAGCCGACCUGAGAGGGUGAUCGGCCACACUGGAACUGAGACACGGUCCAGACUCCUACGGGAGGCAGCAGUAGGGAAUCUUCCGCAAUGGGCGAAAGCCUGACGGAGCAACGCCGCGUGAGUGAUGAAGGUCUUCGGAUCGUAAAACUCUGUUAUUAGGGAAGAACAUAUGUGUAAGUAACUGUGCACAUCUUGACGGUACCUAAUCAGAGAGCCACGGCUAACUACGUG
Molecule: ribosomal RNA, 497 nt
Filed under: uncultured bacterium
Lineage: Bacteria
Description: partial 16S ribosomal RNA
Rfam family: Bacterial small subunit ribosomal RNA
Source: RNAcentral